CCUACGGGAGGCUGCAGUGAGGAAUAUUGGUCAAUGGGCGGGAGCCUGAACCAGCCAAGCCGCGUGCGGGAAGAAGGUACUACGUAUCGUAAACCUCUUUUGUCAGGGAACAAAGGCGGGGACUAGUCCCCGGAUGAGGGUACCUGAAGAAACAGCAUCGGCUAACUCCGUGCCAGCAGCCGCGGUAAUACGGAGGAUGCGAGCGUUAUCCGGAUUUAUUGGGUUUAAAGGGUGCGCAGGCGGCCUGUUAAGUCAGCGGUAAAAUCCCGGGGCUCAACCGCGGCGAGCCGUUGAAACUGGCGGUCUUGAGUUGGCGAGAAGUAGGCGGAAUGCGUGGUGUAGCGGUGAAAUGCUUAGA
RNAcentral lists this ribosomal RNA (358 nucleotides) under uncultured bacterium. RNAcentral describes it as "partial 16S ribosomal RNA". It matches the Rfam family "Bacterial small subunit ribosomal RNA", at positions 338 to 694 of the family's 1533-position model. The record is from RNAcentral.